CGAAAGUGUGAAGGAGCAAUACCGCGUGUCGGACGAAGGCCUUCGGGUCGUAAACGACUUUCUCAGGGACGAACAAAUGACGGUACCUGAGGAAUAAGAGGUUGCUAACUCUGUGCCAGCAGCAGCGGUAAUACAGAGACCUCAAGCGUUAUCCGGAUUUAUUGGGCGUAAAGAGUGCGCAGGCUGAGCGCCAAGUCAGUUGUUAAAUCCCGAAGCUUAACUUCGGAAUCGCAAUUGAUACUGGCGUUCUAGAGGAUGGGAGAGGUAAGCGGAAUUGCCGGUGUAGGGGGUAAAAAUCCGUUGAUAUCGGCAGGAACACCAAAUGCGAAGGCAGCUUACUGGAACAUUUCUGACGCUGGGGCACGAAAGCGUGGGGAGCGAAGAGGAUUAGAUACCCUCGUAGUCCACGCUGUAAACGUUGGAUAUUAGACUUUGGAAGUAUCGACCCUUUCAGAGUCGUUGCAAAAAGUUAACGCGUUAAAUAUCCCGCCUGGGAAGUACGGCCGCAAGGUUA
RNAcentral lists this ribosomal RNA (514 nucleotides) under uncultured bacterium. RNAcentral describes it as "bacterial SSU rRNA". It matches the Rfam family "Bacterial small subunit ribosomal RNA", at positions 376 to 896 of the family's 1533-position model. The record is from RNAcentral.